AUGCGGGACUCAUCAGAGGCCUCGCAAUUGGAAUGAGCGCACUUUAAAUCGUUCGACGAGGAUCUAUUGGAGGGCAAGUCUGGUGCCAGCAGCCGCGGUAAUUCCAGCUCCAAUAGCGUAUAUUAAAGUUGUUGCAGUUAAAAAGCUCGUAGUUGGAUCUGGGGUUCGGGUCGGCGGUUUGCCGCUUCGGCGGCUACUGCCGUGCUCGACUCUUACUAGCCGGUGCGUCUUGCGGUGCUCUUCAUCGAGUGCCGUAGGAGCCUGGCAUGUUUACUUUGAAAAAAACUAGAGUGCUCAAAGCAGGCGAUUCCGCCUGAAUAGUGUUGCAUGGAAUAAUGGAAUAGGACCUCGGUUCUAUUUUGUUGGUUUUCGGAACUUGAGGUAAUGAUUAAGAGGGACGGUCGGGGGCAUUCGUAUUUCGGUGUUAGAGGUGAAAUUCUUGGAUCGCUGAAAGGCGGACAAAUGCGAAAGCAUCUGCCAAGAACGUCUCCAUUAAUCAAGAACGAAAGUCAGAGGUUCGAAGACGAUCAGACACCGUCCUAGUUCUGACCAUAAACGAUGCCAACUAGCGAUCCGCAGUGGUUGCUAUAAACGGACUCUGCGAGCAGCUUCCGGGAAACCAAAGUGUUUGGGUUCCGGGGGAAGUAUGGUUGCAAAGCUGAAACUUAAAGGAAUUGACGGAAGGGCACCACCAGGAGUGGAGCCUGCGGCUUAAUUUGACCCAACACGGGGAAACUCACCCGGUCCGGACACUGUAAGGAUUGACAGAUCGAGAGCUCUUUCUUGAUUCGGUGGAAUGUGGUGCAUGGCCGUUCUUAGUUGGUGGAGUGAUUUGUCUGGUUAAUUCCGAUAACGAACGAGACUCUAGCCUGCUAACUAGUUGCGCCGUGUUCAUACGCGGCUGUAGACUUCUUAGAGGGACAGGUGGCGUUUAGCCACACGAAAUUGAGCAAUAACAGGUCUGUGAUGCCCUUAGAUGUCCGGGGCCGCACGCGCGCUACACUGAAGGAGUCAGCGUGUGCUAUCCGGGCUCGGAAGAGUUCGGUAACCCGUUGAAACUCCUUCGUGCUUGGGAUUGUGGCUUGUAAUUAUCGCGCAUGAACGAGGAAUUCCCAGUAAGUGCAAGUCAUCAGCUUGCGCUGACUACGUCCCUGCCCUUUGUACACACCGCCCGUCGCUACUACCGAUUGAAUGGUUUAGCAAGGUACUCGGAUUGGUCUCGAUCUUGUACGAAAGUGCGGGAUCUGUGGCCGAGAAGAAGGCCAAACUUGAUCAUUUAGAGGAAGUAAA
This 1290-nucleotide ribosomal RNA is filed under the name metagenome. Its description in RNAcentral is "SSU rRNA". It matches the Rfam family "Eukaryotic small subunit ribosomal RNA", at positions 483 to 1786 of the family's 1831-position model. The record is from RNAcentral.